Molecule: ribosomal RNA, 460 nt
Filed under: uncultured bacterium
Lineage: Bacteria
Description: partial 16S ribosomal RNA
Rfam family: Bacterial small subunit ribosomal RNA
Source: RNAcentral
CCUACGGGAGGCAGCAGUGAGGAAUAUUGGUCAAUGGCCGUAAGGCUGAACCAGCCAAGUCGCGUGAAGGAAGAAGGAUCUAUGGUUUGUAAACUUCUUUUAUAGGGGAAUAAAGGUAUCCACGUGUGGAUAUUUGCAUGUACCCUAUGAAUAAGCAUCGGCUAACUCCGUGCCAGCAGCCGCGGUAAUACGGAGGAUGCGAGCGUUAUCCGGAUUUAUUGGGUUUAAAGGGUGCGUAGGUUGUUUUUUAAGUCAGCGGUGAAAGUUUGUGGCUCAACCAUAAAAUUGCCGUUGAAACUGGAAGACGUGAGUGUGUGUGAGGUAGGCGGAAUGCGUGGUGUAGCGGUGAAAUGCAUAGAUAUCACGCAGAACUCCGAUUGCGAAGGCAGCUUACUAAGCCAUAACUGACACUGAAGCACGAAAGCGUGGGGAUCAAACAGGAUUAGAUACCCCAGUAGUC